Molecule: ribosomal RNA, 356 nt
Filed under: uncultured fungus
Lineage: Eukaryota; Fungi
Description: SSU rRNA
Rfam family: Eukaryotic small subunit ribosomal RNA
Source: RNAcentral
GUAGUCAUAUGCUUGUCUCAAAGAUUAAGCCAUGCAUGUCUAAGUACAAACCUUAAUACGGUGAAGCCGCGAAUGGCUCAUUAAAUCAGCUAUGGUUCCUUAGAUCGUCUCAUCCUACUCGGAUAACUGUGGAAAAUCUAGAGCUAAUACGUGCUUACAAGCCCUGACCUCGCGGGAGGGGCGCAUUUAUUAGAUCAAAACCAAUCGGGGCUUGCUCCGUCUGCUUGGUGACUCUGGAUAACUUUUGUGCUGAUCGCAUGGCCUCUGCGCUGGCGACGUAUCUUUCAAGUGUCUGCCCUAUCAACUUACGAUGGUAGGUGAUAUGCCUACCAUGGUUACAACGGGUAACGGGGAAU